RNAcentral lists this ribosomal RNA (338 nucleotides) under Bacillus siamensis. RNAcentral describes it as "bacterial SSU rRNA". It matches the Rfam family "Bacterial small subunit ribosomal RNA", at positions 446 to 775 of the family's 1533-position model. Lineage: Bacteria; Bacillati; Bacillota; Bacilli; Caryophanales; Bacillaceae. The record is from RNAcentral.
AGAACAAGUGCCGUUCAAAUAGGGCGGCACCUUGACGGUACCUAACCAGAAAGCCACGGCUAACUACGUGCCAGCAGCCGCGGUAAUACGUAGGUGGCAAGCGUUGUCCGGAAUUAUUGGGCGUAAAGGGCUCGCAGGCGGUUUCUUAAGUCUGAUGUGAAAGCCCCCGGCUCAACCGGGGAGGGUCAUUGGAAACUGGGGAACUUGAGUGCAGACGAGGAGAGUGGAAUUCCACGUGUAGCGGUGAAAUGCGUAGAGAUGUGGAGGAACACCAGUGGCGAAGGCGACUCUCUGGUCUGUAACUGACGCUGAGGAGCGAAAGCGUGGGGAGCGAACAG